CGGGGGGGGGGGGUUGUGUGGUUGUUGUUGUGAUGAUGGUCUGAUGAAGGUCUGAUGGUCACCAUGGUAAAGGUCAGGGGUCAUCACGGUGAAGGUCAGCGGGUCACUGGCGUAGGUCAGCAGGUCACCAUGGUGAAGGUCAGGG
Molecule: long non-coding RNA, 145 nt
Organism: Gadus macrocephalus (Pacific cod)
Lineage: Eukaryota; Metazoa; Chordata; Actinopteri; Gadiformes; Gadidae
Exons: 2
Source: RefSeq, a predicted model, not a curated record